CACUAUGCCUGGCCCUAAAAAUUGAUAGUUUAUUACAUCCACUAUCCGCCCGGGAACUACGAGCAAAACUUGAAACCCAAAGGACUUGGCGGUGCUUUAGACCCAACUAGAGGAGCCUGUCCUAGAACCGAUAAUCCCCGUUCAACCUUACCUUUUCUUGCAACUUCCGCCUAUAUACCGCCGUCGUAAGCUUACCCUGUGAAGGUGCCCAUAGUGAGCAAAGAUAGUAUCACCCCAUACGUCAGGUCGAGGUGUAGCUUAUGUAAAGGAAAGAGAUGGGCUACAUUUACUAUUAGUAGUAAAUUACGAAUGAUGCCCUGAAACCCCGCAUCUGAAGGUGGAUUUAGUAGUAAGUAAAAAACAGUGUGUUUUACUGAAACUUGGCUCUGAAGCGUGCACACACCGCCCGUCACUCUCCCCAUAAAAACUUUUUGACUUAAACUAUAAAACCUAAAACACUAAGGGGAGACAAGUCGUAA
RNAcentral lists this ribosomal RNA (479 nucleotides) under Pseudanthias huchtii (red-cheeked fairy basslet). RNAcentral describes it as "partial small subunit ribosomal RNA". It matches the Rfam family "Bacterial small subunit ribosomal RNA", at positions 788 to 1491 of the family's 1533-position model. Lineage: Eukaryota; Metazoa; Chordata; Actinopteri; Perciformes; Anthiadidae. The record is from RNAcentral.